ACUAGAAUUUUUCUUUCAGGAGAACUGGGAGCUGCAGUUGCUCAUUAUAGUUUACCGUGCCUUCCAACUAGCUGUUUGUCAAUACCCAGCACAAUCCGCAGAAGCCUGCCUACUGCUAAUAUUUCCAUAUUUCUUCCUACUCCUCUGUAACACAGCUCUUCCUUUUUUAACAUGGCAGGAAAUUUCCAGCUGCUGUUAAAGGCUGCUACUGGGGAGAAUACGUGAGCCCAGUGUCUGCAAAUAGACCUCAGAUGAACUCACACAGAGCAUCUCAGCAGCUCUGUUAAUGUCACCUACUCCAGAUGUCUUCACCAACCAAGAGACUGUCAAAGAAAAUAUCUUUAUAGCUUGCAUGGACAGCAGAAUCCAGCCCUUGAACAGACUUUCAUGAAGAACACAUACGAGGCACGAUUUUUGCCUUUAUAUUCAAAUACACGCUAUUGUUCUGUAGUUACAUAAGUCAGCCAGUCAGAGAACAGAAACAACAUCAUAUGACUUAUGUAACUAACCAUUGCCCAAUCCUGCAAUGAGAUCUGUGUGGCCAGGCCCCCCCCAUGCAAAGCCCCAUUGAAGUCCAGACAAAGAUCACUCCGGGGUUGGAACCCAACAUGGUAGAAUUUAUGACUAUUUGCAACAAGCCACUCACGAACAAAACUGAGAAUUAAUCCCUGAAGAAACGGGUGAAUCAUUUUUUUGAUGAACAAAUACAUUCUAUUCUGUUUGUAACAGCUUUGUGGAUAAUUCAGGAUUCAGAAAAGAGGCAAAAUCCAUCAAAGCAAAUAGACAUUAAUUUCUAAUUAUAUGUCCGGUUCUUCAAGAAGGGCCAAUAUCCUUGGGCAAACAAAAAGAGGAGUCUGGAGAAAACAAUCUUCUGAGAAACAAUUUGUUCAUUCUUGAUAACUCAGAAAUUCAUCUGAGGUGCAACCAGUGGUUGAAAUGGUUGAAUUCAGCAAACAUGGCACCAAAAAUCAGAUGCCAUGGUCUAUAUGAGAAGACCUCCAUGACUGGAAGUGCUGGUAUGGCCUGUUUCAGCUUUUAGGUUUAGUGCACCCUGUUGCGUCUCAUAUGCAAACAGUGAGAACUCCUUCCUGCUGUUGAACAAAACUUUGCGGGAUGCUGGAAAAAUCCUGAAAUGCGCUCUUCUGAGGACGCAGAGAAUAAAAAGGAUGGAAAAUGGAAACACUGACAGGUAUUAUGAGAACGGGCAAAACCCAAAUCCCUUCUUGCCUUGUUUUCCAUUCUUGACCACAGCCCAAACCAGUCCCUUCCAAGGAAGACGACCCCAAACAAUGGGUUCAUGUCACCAUCCCCUCCACCUUGAACUUUAGCAGUGAAAGACUGUCUAAAGCUCUAAAACUCCUCCAGUGGUGAGAGAUUCUAUAAAAUGCUUCAGAUGUCAUCCUGGCUGUGGUGACCAGCUGGUAGCUUGCCUGGCCCUCCUAAAGCCUGCCUUUUAUUUAAGACACUGCCUGCCAUUGCAUGCCUGGCUGCAGGUAGAAGCUUCAGACCAGGGUUAGGCUGCACAAAGAGUGUAAAGUAAUGUGGCAGUGUGGCCACCAGUGUGGCCACCAGGCUGUAGCAAGGAGAACCUGCUCACAGGAAAAGCUGCUUCCCAGUGCUCUCCUUCAGCCUCCAUGAUCCAUCCUAGCGAGUGCAGAGCUGCUGCUACUAGCAGCUCAGGGAGGUCCACUGCUUCCCCUUGCCCUGCCUUCCUCCAUGUUUCAGACCACUUUAUGUAGAGUCAGUGUGUUUACUGCCAGUUUGCACCUGAUCAUGCAGAAUAACAAGAUGCAUCCAGCCCAUGACUUCAGUUGAAGAGGUAGGGCAGGGAAUUCUGAUAAAUGAACACCAAUUGUUUCUAUAGGGAGUGUUAUUUCAAACCAUUCAGGAGACAUCAAGAACUUUACUGUAUACACAAAGAGGCUUUUGACUUAAAUGCUGUGCUUGGAACAUACGGGAACAGCCAAAAUAUUGUAAACAGAUUUGCUUUUUACUCUGUGCUUAGCAAAAUAUUGGCAAGAUGCUUAAACAUCUAAUUAGCCCAUUUUCUUACUUUGGCAUCUGCUUGAUUUGCAUUUUAGGGUCAAGAUCUGUUGCUUUUGCACUCAGUGGUAUUACUUCUGGAGAUUAUAUUCUAUAUAAGAUGUAUUUGUCUAGGCCAUUGUUCUUUGUCAAAUAAAACAGAGAACUGCAUAGUUUGCCUAUGGGAAAAAAUACAUGUGGUGGCUAGCAUGUCAUUUUUUUUCCUGUAGAAAGUGAGUAGAAAUUGGUUUUUUGCAAUCUGCUAAUACAAGAUCUAUGGAGGGGCCAUCCAGCUGAGAGCGGUCUGGCUGCUACAGUAUGGCUACCUACAAUCCACUAGUAGUCAUGAUCCUGAAAUGUAGCAGUUGGAAAUAAACUCAUUUAAACCAUC
Aquila chrysaetos chrysaetos is the source of this 2413-nucleotide long non-coding RNA. RefSeq lists it as uncharacterized. Lineage: Eukaryota; Metazoa; Chordata; Aves; Accipitriformes; Accipitridae. The transcript is spliced from 2 exons. The record is from RefSeq and is a predicted model, not a curated record.